RNAcentral lists this ribosomal RNA (497 nucleotides) under uncultured bacterium. Its description in RNAcentral is "partial 16S ribosomal RNA". It matches the Rfam family "Bacterial small subunit ribosomal RNA", at positions 28 to 507 of the family's 1533-position model. The record is from RNAcentral.
GAUGAACGCUGGCGGCGUGCCUAAUACAUGCAAGUCGAGCGAACAGAUAAGGAUCUUGCUCCUUGGACGUUAGCGGCGGACGUGUGAGUAACACGUGGGUAACCUACCUAUAAGACUGGAAUAACUCCGGGAAACCGGGGCUAAUGCCGUAUAACAUUUAGAACCGCAGGGUUCUAAAGUGAAAGAUGGUUUUGCUAUCACUUAUAGAUGGACCCGCGCCGUAUGAGCGAGUUGGUAAGGUAACGGCUUUCCAAGGCGACGAGCGGUAGCCGACGUGAUAGGGUGGUAGCCCACACUGGAACUGAAACAGGGUCCAGAGUACUAAGGGAGGACGCAGUCGGGAAUCUUCCGCAAUGGGCGAAAACAUGCCGCAGCAACGCAGCGUGAGAGAUGAAGGUCUUCGGAUCGUAAAACUCUGUUACUAGGUAAGAACAAAUGUGUAAGUAACUGUGCACGUCUUGACGGUACCGAAUCAGAAAGCAACGGCUAACUACGUG